CGAGAGUGCGGCCCUUGCUGCUGGAGAUCUGAGGUCACUGCUGUGAGCUGGGAGAACUGCUGUGUACCUCUUGCUGCCAGCACCCAACAGCCUUGCCGUGGGGACCUUGGAAACCUGGCUUUGCUCUGGACAAAGGGUUCCAGAGAGAAGCUAGAAGUCCCCCUUGAAUGACCCCCAGAGCCCCUCUGAGAAGGGCUGGAGUUUGGGGGAAGGGGAUGGCUGGAUGUGCUCCAGGCCAUGCUGGAGGUACCCCCGAGGCACAGGCACUGCCCGUUCCCCUUGCCUGGGCUUCAGGCCUUCUGGCACCUUCUC
This 312-nucleotide long non-coding RNA is filed under the name Homo sapiens (human). RNAcentral describes it as "non-protein coding lnc-IQCD-2:1". The record is from RNAcentral. Lineage: Eukaryota; Metazoa; Chordata; Mammalia; Primates; Hominidae.